UACGUAGGGGGCAAGCGUUGUCCGGAUUUAUUGGGCGUAAAGAGCGUGUAGGCGGCUUUACAGGUCCGUUGUGAAAACUCGAGGCUCAACCUCGAGACGCCGGUGGAAACCGUAAAGCUAGAGUCCGGAAGAGGAGAGUGGAAUUCCUGGUGUAGCGGUGAAAUGCGCAGAUAUCAGGAAGAACACCCGUGGCGAAGGCGGCUCUCUGGGACGGUACUGACGCUGAGACGCGAAAGCGUGGGGAGCAAACAGG
This 253-nucleotide ribosomal RNA is filed under the name uncultured bacterium. Its description in RNAcentral is "partial 16S ribosomal RNA". It matches the Rfam family "Bacterial small subunit ribosomal RNA", at positions 524 to 776 of the family's 1533-position model. The record is from RNAcentral.